AAGGCUACCGAGCGUCGGUCUACCGAGCAAUAUCACCCGCUCGGUAGAAGAUCUUCCCUCUGUCGU
This 66-nucleotide microRNA precursor is filed under the name Bombyx mori (domestic silkworm). RNAcentral's name for it is "mir-2774 microRNA precursor family". It matches the Rfam family "mir-2774 microRNA precursor family". The record is from Rfam by way of RNAcentral. Lineage: Eukaryota; Metazoa; Arthropoda; Insecta; Lepidoptera; Bombycidae.